GAGGCUCCAUGGGCUGCUCACGGCAGCAUGGUGCUCGCCCUCAACGGCAGCCACCUCUCCGGUAACCCGCUGCGGCCGCUGGCGCUGGAGGAGCCGCGGGCGCUGGGCGGCGGCAGGAUGAUCGCCGGCUCCUGGCCCCCGCGCAGCCUGGCCAAGCUCGGCCCGUCGCCCCCCCCGUCGGCGCUGCCCACGGCGAGCCCCCUCCCCGGCAACGACUCCCAGUGCGGGGAGCAGAUCCUCAGCUACGGCAGCGCCGAGAAAGUUCUCAUCGGGGCCGUGCUCUGCCUCAUCACCCUGCUGACCAUCGCCGGCAACUGCCUGGUGGUGAUCUCCGUGUGCUUCGUGAAGAAGCUGCGGCAGCCCUCCAACUAUCUCAUCGUCUCGCUGGCCCUGGCCGAUCUCUCGGUGGCCCUGGCCGUCAUGCCCUUCGUCAGCGUCACCGACCUUAUCGGCGGGGAGUGGAUCUUCGGGCGCCUCUUCUGCAACGUCUUCAUCGCCAUGGAUGUCAUGUGCUGCACGGCCUCCAUCAUGACCCUCUGUGUGAUAAGUAUCGACAGGUACCUGGGAAUCACAAGGCCCCUCACAUACCCUGUCAGGCAGAAUGGGAAGUGCAUGGCCAAGAUGAUCCUGUGUGUCUGGCUGUUGUCUGCCUCUAUCACCAUACCCCCGCUCUUCGGCUGGGCCCAGAACGUCAAUGAUGAAAAGGUUUGCCUCAUCAGUCAAGACUUUGGCUACACCAUUUACUCCACAGCAGUUGCAUUUUACAUCCCAAUGUCAGUGAUGCUGUUCAUGUACUAUCAGAUCUAUAAAGCUGCCAGGAGGAGUGCUGCUAAACACAAGUUUUCUGGUUUUCCCCGUCUGGAAGAAAUGGAAGGGAUUUCUGUGAAUGGACUUGUAAAACUGCACAAGGAAUCUGAAGAAUGUACUAAUUUUUCACGACUCCUAAAGCACGACAAGAAAAACAUUUCCAUCUUUAAAAGAGAACAGAAAGCUGCCACCACCCUUGGGAUUAUUGUUGGGGCCUUCACAAUCUGCUGGCUGCCCUUUUUCCUCCUCUCAACUGCAAGGCCCUUCAUAUGUGGUACAGCAUGCAGCUGCAUCCCCCUCUGGGUGGAGAGAACAUUUCUGUGGCUGGGCUAUGCAAACUCCCUCAUUAACCCUUUUAUCUAUGCCUUCUUCAACCGGGACCUGAGGACAACCUAUCGCAACCUGCUGCAGUGCAGAUACAGGAACAUCAACCGCAAACUCUCGGCCGCGGGCAUGCACGAGGCUCUGAAGCUUGCAGAAAAGCCAGAAUUCGUUCUGUAAGGCCACUCAUCCUCUACUGUGAUCAUUUGCUGUUUUAUCACGUUGGCUUUUCCCCCACAGGUUUGAAAGAAGUGUUGCAGGAGGAACCAGUUGAGCACUGUUAAUGCAGUCAGCAGGAAACAAGGUAGAGCCCACCUGUCCUAAUCGGCCUGGAAAAGCAAGAGCACCAUCUAGAGAAUUUGGGUGUAAGAGGAAUAUAUAAGAAAGGAUGGAAGUGAAAUGUAGCACAGGAUGUUUGAGCUGUUAGUGAGGAAAAAGCAAAGUUGGCCUAACCCGUUUGUUUGGCCCAAAAAAUGUUUAGUAGGUCUGAAUGUUGGAUGCACCUUGUGUCCCAGAGAUUCUUUGCUGUAAUAAAGACCUGAGAAUGGUGAAAAGUUAAUUUCCUUCCACUUCAGUAUUACAAAAAUAAAUCAUUAAAGAAGAAGCUGAAUCAAAGAACUUGUAUUCCUUAGAAACAUUCUUUAUGAUAAAACCCCAUAUGUUCAUUAAACAUUAAUUUACUGGAUUGCCUGGAAAUGAACUAUGUUGUGAAAUUCAAUAUUGCCUUUGCACAGCAACUCUGGCACUGAAAGAAUAUGUCACACUUCCAAUGUGAUUAAAGAGUUUGAGUCAAGUCACAUGGACCAGCAUCUACUGCUGCAUACAGCCCUGCAGCACAGUUAGCUGCAAUGCUGCUGUGCAAAUCACACCAGGAGAAGUUCUGAUUUCUCCAGGGAAAAAGAGUCAUGACCAAAUGUGCUUCAGAGCAGCCAGAAAAAGUCGAGCCAGACCAGGAAGAAGAAAAAUGAAGAGUUGGCUUCUGAAGAACUGGAUGGAUUUAUAAAAUGUACUUCAUCUUCCUUUGAUGGGAGUGUGCUAAAAAUAUUCCAUGAGCUCAAUACAUUAUAUUAGAUACAUUUCUAUUGGAAGUGCUCACAUCUUGUUUGUUAUGGAGGAAAAUGCUGUUACAUACAAAUGAAAAUAGUUUUCUGCCUGAGAAAGCAGAAAUUUCAGCAAUAAGUUUGACAAAGGGUGGGGGAAUGCCACUAAAACUCAAAGAUAAAGCCUUGUACAGAUUUCCACCACAUUUAAUUAUGUAGAAGAACAUUUGUAUGUUUACCAUGCUUGUGGAUCCCAGCACUGGUAUUCAUAUUCAGGGAUUGUCAGUGAUACUGAAUGUAUUUUGCUGUACUAAAAAAGAGAGGUUUUCGGGCAAAUGUUGUCUCUGUGGAUGCUUUCAGAGCUUGUGUUAAAGAGAUGCUGUACACCUGCAAUAGCAUUGAGAAUGACAACAAUAAAAGACCAAUUUUUGUUAAA
RNA transcript from Melozone crissalis (California towhee), 2604 nucleotides. It is a transcript of the gene named 5-hydroxytryptamine receptor 7, with no coding region annotated. NCBI's taxonomy places the organism in Eukaryota, Metazoa, Chordata, Aves, Passeriformes, Passerellidae. The record is from RefSeq and is a predicted model, not a curated record. The transcript is spliced from 3 exons.